This is a non-coding RNA of Mycena polygramma, 93 nucleotides long. Lineage: Eukaryota; Fungi; Basidiomycota; Agaricomycetes; Agaricales; Mycenaceae. The record is from the annotation of a GenBank genome assembly.
AGCAGUAUGGUGCAGGGUUGCACACCGGAAUUCUCUGAUUUGGACCAUUCGAAGUGUAACUCCGCGGCCCUUGUUCGAAUCAAGGUACUGCUC